UACGGGGGGAGCAAGCGUUGUUCGGAUUUACUGGGCGUAAAGGGCGCGUAGGCGGCGUGUUAAGUCAGCUGUGAAAUCUCCAAGCUUAACUUGGAACGGUCAGCUGAUACUGAUGUGCUAGAGUGCAGAAGGGGCAACCGGAAUUCUUGGUGUAGCGGUGAAAUGCGUAGAUAUCAAGAGGAACACCUGAGGUGAAGACGGGUUGCUGGGCUGACACUGACGCUGAGGCGCGAAAGCGUGGGGAUCAAACAGG
Molecule: ribosomal RNA, 253 nt
Filed under: uncultured bacterium
Lineage: Bacteria
Description: partial 16S ribosomal RNA
Rfam family: Bacterial small subunit ribosomal RNA
Source: RNAcentral